Molecule: ribosomal RNA, 210 nt
Filed under: Triticum aestivum (bread wheat)
Lineage: Eukaryota; Viridiplantae; Streptophyta; Magnoliopsida; Poales; Poaceae
Description: partial small subunit ribosomal RNA
Source: RNAcentral
CUAGCACAUGAAAGUCGAAGUAUAUACUUUAGUCGAGGUAAUGAUCAUACGUCUGUAAUGCAUUGUAUGGCCCAGAAUAGGUCCUAUUCUUUUACCUUUUCCAGGUAGUCGAUGGCUAUUCACAGCUACCACCUUAACACCAAAGAAGAGUUUGACCCAAUGCUUUAUUUCUCGGGCCAGACGGACAUUGGUCCUCGAGUGCAAAGGCAU